This 449-nucleotide ribosomal RNA is filed under the name uncultured bacterium. RNAcentral describes it as "bacterial SSU rRNA". It matches the Rfam family "Bacterial small subunit ribosomal RNA", at positions 329 to 792 of the family's 1533-position model. The record is from RNAcentral.
AACCAGACUCCUACGGGAGGCAGCAGUGGGGAAUAUUGGGCAAUGGGGGAAACCCUGACCCAGCAACGCCGCGUGAAGGAAGAAGGCCUUCGGGUUGUAAACUUCUUUUACCAGGGACGAAGAACGUGACGGUACCUGGAGAAAAAGCCACGGCUAACUACGUGCCAGCAGCCGCGGUAAUACGUAGGGGGCAAGCGUUAUCCGGAUUUACUGGGUGUAAAGGGAGCGUAGACGGCAGUGCAAGUCUGGAGUGAAAGGCGGGGGCUCAACCCCCGGACUGCUCUGGAAACUGUACGGCUGGAGUGCAGGAGGGGCAGGCGGAAUUCCUGGUGUAGCGGUGAAAUGCGUAGAUAUCAGGAGGAACACCGGUGGCGAAGGCGGCCUGCUGGACUGCAACUGACGUUGAGGCCCGAAAGCGUGGGGAGCAAACAGGAUUAGAUACCCCGGUA